ACGCUCGACACCUACGGGAGGUAGCAGUGGGGAAUAUUGCACAAUGGGGGAAACCCGUGAUGCAGCGACGCCGCGUGGAGGAAGAAGGUCUUCGGAUUGUAAACUCCUGUUGUUGGGGAAAAAGAGGAUGGUACCCAACAAGGAAGUGACGGCUAACUACGUGCCAACAGCCGCGGUAAUCUGAGCGGGCUGGCAAGGC
Molecule: ribosomal RNA, 199 nt
Filed under: uncultured bacterium
Lineage: Bacteria
Description: partial 16S ribosomal RNA
Rfam family: Bacterial small subunit ribosomal RNA
Source: RNAcentral